GUUCGCCAUUGCCGCGGCCGAGGCCGCCUUCGCAGGCUGCAGCACGCCGCCGGAAGACUACCUCAGCGAUCUCCCCAGUCCUCUUCUUCCUCCUCACCCGCGACUCCUUCCGCACCUCCGUCCUCGCUUGCCGAUGGCGUCGUGUCGCAUUCCGACUAUUUCAAGCGGACCUCUAGGUUACCAGCUGGCGUCGACUCGUUGCUAUUCUUGCUCUAUCGGGCGUCUUCGACUCGCCUCCGACUGCAGGUUGAUUCGUCCCCGACGUAGAUCGCCGCUGCAACUGGAUCGACUACGGUCCCACUCCGGAGUCUGUCCAUUUGUCCAUCGCUCGUGGCAGUCGGUCCCCAACCUUCCUCAGUCAAGACGCUUUCACUCAUGAUUUCGAAGGAGUGGUUGGCAAGGCUGUUCUCUUGCUCGCCUGAUUUGGAAAAUUAACAUUAAACCAAGGAUUUCGGUUGAUCAAUAUCAGAAACUCGGACGUUUAAAGCUGAAAUCCGAUGUUCGUCUGGAACAGUUGUAUGUUGGCCUCUGUUCAGUUGCAGAGCCUUUUGGAACACCACUAUCUUCAUUACUUGUCUCUUUAUAGCAAGUUAUAGCUUAUGCCUACUCCAGAAAGUUUACCAGUUCUUUACAAAUUGUUGAAGUUGGAGAUCCAUCCAUCCACUUCUGGUCACAAUUCCAACAGUUUGCAAGUGCUAUUUUCUCUUCUUCAGUGCACACCGAAUAUAUAUUCACUCAUUUUAAUUGAAAAUGGACAGGCGUGAGAUCAGUCAUCAUAUGGGCCAUAUGGAAGAGAAAUCAAUUAGUGGAGGAAUUUAUUGAAUAUUGUGCCCAUCAAAGGUUUAGAUCAUCUUAAGAAAAGUUUCUGCUAGAAACAAAACUACAAGAAUUCAAUCAGCCAUUUUGGAGAUAUUAUUGGAGAGAGUUCAAGCAUGGGAUGAACUGAUGAAGUAGUGGUGACUACACAUAGGGAUGGGUU
Long non-coding RNA from Zingiber officinale, 979 nucleotides. RefSeq lists it as uncharacterized. The record is from RefSeq and is a predicted model, not a curated record. NCBI's taxonomy places the organism in Eukaryota, Viridiplantae, Streptophyta, Magnoliopsida, Zingiberales, Zingiberaceae. The transcript has 3 exons.